This is a long non-coding RNA of Solanum dulcamara, 751 nucleotides long. RefSeq lists it as uncharacterized. The transcript is spliced from 2 exons. The record is from RefSeq and is a predicted model, not a curated record. NCBI's taxonomy places the organism in Eukaryota, Viridiplantae, Streptophyta, Magnoliopsida, Solanales, Solanaceae.
CUAAUUAAUACAACUUUGAAAUUUCCUUCUUUUUUGUGAAGUUAUUUAUAUAUAAAAAAGAGAAAAAAAAUGCUACCAUGAUCUUGAGUAACACUUCAAUUUUCUCAUGUAUUUUUUCUAUCAAAUCCACAAUUAUUAUCUUCGUUUUUUCCCUUCUUAUCCUUCCCUCUCCUUCCUAUUGUUUAUAUCAUCAUACACAUAAAUUCCAAGAUUCUACUAAGGAUUUGUUAAUGGAAGAGAAAACAAGGUUGGGAUCGAUGCCACCAAGUUGUUACAACAAGUGUAACCAAUGCCACCCGUGCAUGGCGGCGCAAGUGCCAACGACACCGAGUCACCACCGAGUUGAACUGAGUCCGAGUCGAGUCAAAGAUGUGCCGAUGGAUUAUUAUGACUCACCAUCACCAUCAAUUGGAGCCAAUAGGUACUCAAAUUACAAGCCACUUGAAUGGAAAUGUCGAUGUGACGAUCAUUUUUAUAAUCCUUAGUUAAGGUAGACGAAUAUUUUUUUAUAAAAUAAUUAUAAUGUCCAGGUCAGCUUAUGUUUUAAUUUUUUUUUAUUAGUCAGUGUGAUUUUUAAUUGACACUUGGACGGUAUGUAUGUAUGCAUUUUUUUUUUUGGAAUUUUGGUAUCAAUAAAUUUGGUCCCUUGUGGGAUUUUGUUUUUUUAGAGACAAGACAUAUUUAAUGAGGCUGUUAGAAGCAUUUAGUAUGGUGUACAAAUUUUGAUAUCAAUACAUUGAUGUUGUACAUA